CGUCGGUUAGAGGAGUUAUACACAGAAGACAUACACCGAGUGUACAAAACAUUAUGAACAGCUCUUUACAUGACAAAGAUUGGCCAGGUGAAAGCUAUGAUCCCUUACUGAUGUCAACCAGUGUAGAUGAAGGGGAGGGGACAGGUUAAAGCUAUGAUCCCUUAUUGAUGUCAACCAGUGUAGAUGAAGGGGAGGGGACAGGUUAAAGCUAUGAUCCCUUAUUGAUGUCAACCAGUGUAGAUGAAGGGGAGGGGACAGGUUAAAGCUAUGAUCCCUUAUUGAUGUCAACCAGUGUAGAUGAAGGGGAGGGGACAGGUUAAAGCUAUGAUCCCUUAUUGAUGUCAACCAGUGUAGAUGAAGGGGAGGGGACAGGUUAAAGCUAUGAUCCCUUAUUGAUGUCAACCAGUGUAGAUGAAGGGGAGGGGACAGGUUAAAGCUAUGAUCCCUUAUUGAUGUCAACCAGUGUAGAUGAAGGGGAGGGGACAGGUUAAAGCUAUGAUCCCUUAUUGAUGUCAACCAGUGUAGAUGAAGGGGAGGGGACAGGUUAAAGCUAUGAUCCCUUAUUGAUGUCAACCAGUGUAGAUGAAGGGGAGGGGACAGGUUAAAGCUAUGAUCCCUUAUUGAUGUCAACCAGUGUAGAUGAAGGGGAGGGGACAGGUUAAAGCUAUGAUCCCUUAUUGAUGUCAACCAGUGUAGAUGAAGGGGAGGGGACAGGUUAAAGCUAUGAUCCCUUAUUGAUGUCAACCAGUGUAGAUGAAGGGGAGGGGACAGGUUAAAGCUAUGAUCCCUUAUUGAUGUCAACCAGUGUAGAUGAAGGGGAGGGGACAGGUUAAAGCUAUGAUCCCUUAUUGAUGUCAACCAGUGUAGAUGAAGGGGAGGGGACAGGUUAAAGCUAUGAUCCCUUAUUGAUGUCAACCAGUGUAGAUGAAGGGGAGGGGACAGGUUAAAGCUAUGAUCCCUUAUUGAUGUCAACCAGUGUAGAUGAAGGGGAGGGGACAGGUUAAAGCUAUGAUCCCUUAUUGAUGUCAACCAGUGUAGAUGAAGGGGAGGGGACAGGUUAAAGCUAUGAUCCCUUAUUGAUGUCAACCAGUGUAGAUGAAGGGGAGGGGACAGGUUAAAGCUAUGAUCCCUUAUUGAUGUCAACCAGUGUAGAUGAAGGGGAGGGGACAGGUUAAAGCUAUGAUCCCUUAUUGAUGUCAACCAGUGUAGAUGAAGGGGAGGGGACAGGUUAAAGCUAUGAUCCCUUAUUGAUGUCAACCAGUGUAGAUGAAGGGGAGGGGACAGGUUAAAGCUAUGAUCCCUUAUUGAUGUCAACCAGUGUAGAUGAAGGGGAGGGGACAGGUUAAAGCUAUGAUCCCUUAUUGAUGUCAACCAGUGUAGAUGAAGGGGAGGGGACAGGUUAAAGCUAUGAUCCCUUAUUGAUGUCAACCAGUGUAGAUGAAGGGGAGGGGACAGGUUAAAGCUAUGAUCCCUUAUUGAUGUCAACCAGUGUAGAUGAAGGGGAGGGGACAGGUUAAAGCUAUGAUCCCUUAUUGAUGUCAACCAGUGUAGAUGAAGGGGAGGGGACAGGUUAAAGCUAUGAUCCCUUAUUGAUGUCAACCAGUGUAGAUGAAGGGGAGGGGACAGGUUAAAGCUAUGAUCCCUUAUUGAUGUCAACCAGUGUAGAUGAAGGGGAGGGGACAGGUUAAAGCUAUGAUCCCUUAUUGAUGUCAACCAGUGUAGAUGAAGGGGAGGGGACAGGUUAAAGCUAUGAUCCCUUAUUGAUGUCAACCAGUGUAGAUGAAGGGGAGGGGACAGGUUAAAGCUAUGAUCCCUUAUUGAUGUCAACCAGUGUAGAUGAAGGGGAGGGGACAGGUUAAAGCUAUGAUCCCUUAUUGAUGUCAACCAGUGUAGAUGAAGGGGAGGGGACAGGUUAAAGAAGGAUUGAGACAUGAACUGUGUAUGUGUGCCAUUCAGAAGGCAAAGUUCCUUUGAACGGGUAUGGCAGUGGGUACCAGGCGCACCGGUUUGAGUGUAUCAAGAACAGCAACGCUGCCGGGUUUUUCCACACUCAACAGUCUCCCCGGUGUAUCAAGAACAGCAACGCUGCCGGGUUUUUCCACACUCAACAGUCUCCCCGGUGUAUCAAGAAUGGUCUACCACCCAAAGGACAUCUAGACAUCUAACUGUGGGAAGCAUUGGAGUGAACACAGGCCAGCAUGCCCUGACGAAUUGAAGCUGUUCUGAGUAAAAAAAAACAGUUGCAGCUCAAACUUAGGAAGAUGUUCCUAAUGUUUUGUACACAGUGUAACACACACACACAGUGCCACCUCUGAGAAACCAGAGUUCUUAUUCACUGGAAUACAGAGAGAUCGAGUAGGAGAUAUAUAGAUGCAUCAUAUACACAGUAGACUUAUAAACACACAUAUUGUACAUUACACACCGAGACCAACUGCACACACACACACACAAUACAGCUGAAGACUUUAUAAAUACUCAAAUGUAAUGAGAUUAAAGGCAACACAAUACUCUCGACCCUGAAAUAGAAGAGUGUUCCUAACGUUAUUAGAACAAACCCCAGAACCUUUCAGGGCCCCCGGUCUCAUGGCGUGUGUUUAUUAUUCUCCUAUGAGAUGGGAAGAGGAAGUUGCGAGUAACGAGUCUUUCAGUUUUGUAGCUUCAGUGACGCUGUUAUCCCCGACACAGCCCGCUGCAGAAGUUACCCUACUCACAAUGGUAGAAAAACAACAGUCAACUUUUGAGGAGCGCUUUGAACAAUACCAGGAAACGAGGCUGCGUACCAAAUGUCUAUGGGCCCUGGUCAAAAGUAGUGCACUCUGGAGGGAAUAGGGUGCCACUUGGGAUGCAGCCAAUGCGUUUAAAUGCAGGUCCCCUUUUACAGCUUUUACGUCCUAGGAUCCAUUGUGUUGAACGUAUUUAUAGGACAGAACUACAAGGCCUGAUUUGAAUCAGUUCAAGCAGUGUAGUUUCGGGAGCAGUUAGGAAUAUAGACAUUGAAAGUGUGCUCUGGAGAGCUGGCUGUCGUGGGAGGUAAAGGAGAACACUUUCCCAUAGUGCUGUUGUGAUAACGUGCGUGCCAGUCACGCAUGUUGUAGAACAGCCUCCCAUAGCACUACAAAGUCCACAAGCCACCUCUGCAUAGCCUGGAUUUAACUUCAUUUACAACCGAAACGCCGGGCUUCUUUUUUUCCCUUCAUCUUCACAGACAGCUGAACCUCUUGCCAAACCUGCCCUCAUUCCAGAACCACUAGCAAUGA
Long non-coding RNA from Oncorhynchus keta (chum salmon), 3257 nucleotides. RefSeq lists it as uncharacterized. The record is from RefSeq and is a predicted model, not a curated record. Lineage: Eukaryota; Metazoa; Chordata; Actinopteri; Salmoniformes; Salmonidae. The transcript has 6 exons.